This 424-nucleotide ribosomal RNA is filed under the name uncultured bacterium. RNAcentral's name for it is "bacterial SSU rRNA". It matches the Rfam family "Bacterial small subunit ribosomal RNA", at positions 355 to 776 of the family's 1533-position model. The record is from RNAcentral.
UAGGGAAUAUUGGGCAAUGGAUGCAAGUCUGACCCAGCCAUGCCGCGUGCAGGAAGAAGGUCCUCUGGAUUGUAAACUGCUUUUGUCGGGGAAGAAUAGGUCUCUUGCGAGGGAUUGUGACGGUACCCGAUGAAUAAGCCACGGCUAACUACGUGCCAGCAGCCGCGGUAAUACGUAGGUGGCAAGCGUUGUCCGGAUUUAUUGGGUUUAAAGGGUGCGUAGGUGGUUUGCUAAGUCAGUGGUGAAAGCUGGUUGCUCAACAAUCAAGUUGCCAUUGAUACUGUCAGACUUGAGAGAAGUGGAGGCUCAUGGAAUGGAUGGUGUAGCGGUGAAAUGCAUAGAUAUCAUCCAGAACGUCGAUUGCGAAGGCAGUGGGCUGUACUUUUUCUGACACUGAGGCACGAAAGCGUGGGGAUCAAACAGG